Jatropha curcas is the source of this 354-nucleotide non-coding RNA. The record is from RefSeq and is a predicted model, not a curated record. NCBI's taxonomy places the organism in Eukaryota, Viridiplantae, Streptophyta, Magnoliopsida, Malpighiales, Euphorbiaceae.
UAAUCAGCUGGUGCACAUAUUGCUGCUUGUACUCUUCUAGAGCAGGCAAUCAAGGAGGCUGGUGAAGGAGCAAGCAUUACUUGGAGUCUGUCCCAGAUUAAGGCUUAUUUUGGACUUUCUGGAGGGUACAAUUUGUUAAAACUCGUAGAUUAUUUCCACAGUCGUGGUUUAUAUCGUUCUGUCUUCUUAAGCAUAAUGGAAGGAGAAGAAUCCUUACGAAGAUUUUCACCUGAAGUAAUUGUAAAGGACCCCAGUGUGAAAAAUGUGGUUUCUCUGCUACCUCCUAUUGUUCUUUUUCAUGGUACUGCAGAUUACUCUAUUCCAGCAGACGCCAGGAUUGUUGAGGCAUGGUGU